Molecule: ribosomal RNA, 471 nt
Filed under: uncultured organism
Description: partial 16S ribosomal RNA
Rfam family: Bacterial small subunit ribosomal RNA
Source: RNAcentral
ACUCCUGCGGGAGGCAGCAGUGGGGAAUAUUGCACAAUGGGCGCAAGCCUGAUGCAGCCAUGCCGCGUGUAUGAAGAAGGCCUUCGGGUUGUAAAGUACUUUCAGCGGGGAGGAAGGCAAUACGGUUAAUAACCGUGUUGAUUGACGUUACCCGCAGAAGAAGCACCGGCUAACUCCGUGCCAGCAGCCGCGGUAAUACGGAGGGUGCAAGCGUUAAUCGGAAUUACUGGGCGUAAAGCGCACGCAGGCGGUCUGUCAAGUCGGAUGUGAAAUCCCCGGGCUCAACCUGGGAACUGCAUUCGAAACUGGCAGGCUUGAGUCUUGUAGAGGGGGGUAGAAUUCCAGGUGUAGCGGUGAAAUGCGUAGAGAUCUGGAGGAAUACCGGUGGCGAAGGCGGCCCCCUGGACAAAGACUGACGCUCAGGUGCGAAAGCGUGGGGAGCAAACAGGAUUAGAUACCCGGGUAGUCCCA